GUAGGAGAGCGAAUGACGCGUGUGCUGUUCGGGGAACGGCUUAUCGUCCGGUCCCAUGGUGCACCGGUAAUCGAACACGGACAGCGCCGCACUCUCAAACAGCGUGAUCUUCAUGGCCGGAUGUUAUCCCCGGCGUCGCCGCGGGGCNGACAGGCCAGGAUCGAACAGCAUCGGCGCAUCCUCAGAAGCGUGACCCGCGAUCCGCGCGCGUUCGAUGGCCAGCAUGCGGAACUUGGUGGUCACGCCGCCAUUGGCGGAAAACCCGCCGGUCUUGCCGUUAGCCGCCAGCACGCGGUGACACGGGAUCACGAUCGGCAGCGGAUUUUGCCCCAGUGCCUGUCCGACCGAGCGAGACAGCAGUUUGUCGCCGAUGCGUGUGGCGAUGUCGCCAUAGG
RNAcentral lists this unclassified non-coding RNA (395 nucleotides) under Hevea brasiliensis (rubber tree). The record is from RNAcentral. Lineage: Eukaryota; Viridiplantae; Streptophyta; Magnoliopsida; Malpighiales; Euphorbiaceae.